CCAUUUCUGAGGAGCUACCAGCUCAGGGGGAUGUGAAUGGCAGCAACCGCGACGAGGCACCUACUAGACACCAUGAAAUAUAGUUCAGGUGCAACUUCUAUGUAAGGUUUGAUAAUAUACAUAAAGACGCUCCCAGAAAUCACAAGACAGUAUUUAAACAGAUGGCAGGAUGUUCUACACUGGAACUAAUCGGCAAUAUCUUCGUUUGGUGGUGUUAACUGAGGAGGAAAAGAGGUCUGUCCUCCACGAAUGCCAUGAUCAUCCACGGACAGGAAAUCAUCGUGGUUUGAGAGCCACCAGAGACAAGGUUGUUGCUGGUUAUUACUGGCCAACUUUAAAGAAGGAUGUGUAUGACUGGGUUAAUGAAGCGUGGGACGUGGUUGGCUUGGACCUCAUUGACCCUGUCUCUGAGACUGCUCGAGGCCAGAAAUAUAUCAUGACUAUGACAGACCUCUACACAAAGUGGGCUGUUGCUGAGCCACUGUGCAGCAAGAGUGCAAGUCAGGUGUGUUCUGCCGUGGUCAACAAGCUGUAUUCCUACGGCAUGGUCAGGAAAAUCAUCACUGAUCAAGGAAAGGAGUUUGUGAAUGAGCUAAACUCGAGCAUCUUCAAGAUUUUUAAUAUAAAACAUGCCGUUUCCAGUGCCUAUCACCCCCAGACAAAUGGACAGGUGUUUGUUACAUUUCUCUUAUAUAGAAUUUUAAACAAUUAUCUCAGAUUAAGGGUACUUGUUCAACUAAUUAUUUCAUUGUUUGCAUUUUUUAUUUCUAUCUUUUGGGUCGUGUCGGAGCUGGUGGAUGUUGCCCGGGAGAUGAGCGUGCCCCCGCGACCCGACAAUGGAUAAGCGGUGGAGGAUGGAUGGAUGGGUUGUGAGUUAGAUAAGUAUUGCCCAUUAAGUUCAGAUGUUUUUUUUCCUUUACUGUUUAGCAUGUGAGGACAAACCAGAAUGUCAAGUGGGCUCUGAGACGAUAUGUCAACGAGUCACGCAACGACUGGGACAUCCACCUUCCAGCAGUCUUGUAUGGCAUUAACACAACUUCACAGUGAUGAAUGCUUGUCCGAUUGGAGAUUCAUGGGAGGUUGGAGAUCCAGAGGAAGACAUGGACACCACAGUUGAUAAAAUGAGACUCCUGAAUGAGAAGGUCCUUCAAAACAUUGAACUGGCACAGGAAAGACAGAAGGAAUCUUACGCUAUGCGUAAGAAAAAGUCUGUUCGAGUGUGCACAGUCAAUGUUGGAGAUGAUGUCCUCAUCUCAGGAAGCCCCAAAGAUCGGUUUCGUUCAGCGGCCAUGUCCAGUCAGCAUGAGGGUCCCUUCACUGUCACCAGCAUCUCUUCAAAAGGCGUGGCAACAGUGGGAAAAAGUGAUGGGAGGCACCGGAUGCUCACAUAAAGUGCCUCAGGCCAUAUAGGAGAAUGGAGAGUCUUAGUCGUCUGAGCAAGAUAGCGUUUUGGCAUGACCACCCAUAUUGGACUGACAAGCAGGAUGAUCAUCUUUAUGCUUCAUGUGGAGAGAUAUGGGAGCAGAAGUUGGGUCCUCUUGAGGAUAAACUGGCAAGUGAUAUCUCUAUCUGUUUUCCAUGGCAAAAAGAUUUCAUCAGCUAAAUCCUAAUAUAUUCACUCAUGGCAUGGUGUGAUCUUGCAUUCUAGUUCUCCUAUGUACUGGACACCAGUCGUCCUGCAAAGGAACUUAUUGUCAAAGAUGGCAAUCUCUGUCUUGUUCGCGAGGAAUUCUGGACUUUGGGCCUUCCGCGAUGCAUGGAUUCAUCUAUUGGAAAUGCCUGCCUGAGGCUCAUUCAAGAAGCUGCUCAGCGAUGUGGGAAGGACGUUCAUAUUGUGGAUAUGUUUGUCAUGCCCACCUGGAAGUUGGAUCAUGUAGACCCCUUAGUUGGUCUGAUGGACAACAUGAGAUCAAAGGAUGUCAUUAUGUUUCCAGCAUGGAGUCGUCAACAGAACCAGUCAGAUCACUACUUGUUAUGUGUUGAGUGAAAAAUCAUUCAUCAAAUUCAUUCAACUCCUGCAAUGUUUAUGUGCCUGUGUAACUGUUAUAAUGGAUUCUCUUCUUCCUCAUGGUUUUGGAGAUGAGUCAUAUGGAGCAAUCUUUAGGUGGAUAUUAAACAAUGUCGUCGUUGGUCUUGGUCUGCAUUUGCACCGACCGUCCAUUUCACUUUUCUGAGAGUGACAUGGUGUCUGUCCGCAAGUGGUGGUGUGUGCAGCUAAUGGAGAGGUUCUCCAUUGAAGGGCAUGGUCAGCGAUUUGCCUUCUGGACCCAGGAGGCUAAAGAACUGCUCCAUGGUGGACUUGAGUCUCUUCUUCGGCUGCCUGGAACAAUCCACUUUUGGAUCAGUCGAGAACCGUGCAGGAUCUCUAGCUGGCUGUCCAGUGGAUAGAUGAAAACCCAGGUGUCUUCAAGAGUAAGUGGAGGGUGCCCGCAUUCCAUGGUAUGACAGAGCAGGAGCAGGAGGACAAUGGAGAUGGCACUGCUGCCAGGGAUCCUUUCAUGUUCGUUUUUGACGACAUGGACGACAUGAAAACGUUUAUGAAUGAAUGUCGUGAUCAGAGAGACCUGAGAGUGAAUGUUGAGUGUGUUGUAGAUAAUAGUGAGUAGAUGAAGCUCUCUUUUGUCGGGUGAACUGUUCGGGCAUUUGUUAAUAAUGGUGUGUUUUCAUGUUUUGUAUAUAAAAUAUGUUUAGUCAUUUAUAAAUAAUGUUGGUGUGUUUUCAUGUUUUGUUAA
Molecule: long non-coding RNA, 2732 nt
Organism: Synchiropus splendidus (mandarinfish)
Lineage: Eukaryota; Metazoa; Chordata; Actinopteri; Syngnathiformes; Callionymidae
Exons: 13
Source: RefSeq, a predicted model, not a curated record